GUUUCAUAUAAAAGACAUCCUCUUUUUCCCCUAAAACCAGUUCCCUCAAUCUUCCCUAAAACCCUCCAGCAGAACCCACUUCCCUCCAGAGAAAUCAAGUUUUUUCCGGCGAUUUUGGGCAAGAAACCACCGUCGUGACCGGCCGCUGUUCGAAGGUUCAUUGUUUCACUUCUUCAAGCUGAUUUCAGUAGACACGAAGCUUCCUUCUAGAUGUAUAUCUUCUCAGAAUGCUUUCAGUGGAAUUCUAACUAGUCGAAUUCUAACUGGUCUUCCCAAGCCUGGAGGCAGGAGUUACAGAAAAUUGUAAAAAAACCUAUAGCAACCAAAUUUAGUCUUUAAAGGUGAAAUUACAGAAAAUUGUAAAAACUCUAUAGCAACGACCCUGUUGCGACUAAGUUUGGUCGCUGUAAGUCAAUCUAUAGCGACGCCUUUGUAGCGACGAAAAUUGCACCCUGUUACGACAGAUCAAUAGCAACGACCCUGUUGCGACUAAGUUUGGUCGCAAUAGGUUAAGACGGAAUUUCGUCGCGAAAAGUCUUUUUUGGGUCGUCGCUAAAGGUCCGAUUUCUUGUAGUGGAUAACCAAGUUUUAGUAGUGUUUCAAUUAGAUCACUUAUAAAAAAAAUUGUUCUAAUUAACUCAUUAAAUUUU
RNAcentral lists this long non-coding RNA (650 nucleotides) under Helianthus annuus (common sunflower). Lineage: Eukaryota; Viridiplantae; Streptophyta; Magnoliopsida; Asterales; Asteraceae. The record is from RNAcentral.